This 447-nucleotide ribosomal RNA is filed under the name uncultured organism. Its description in RNAcentral is "partial 16S ribosomal RNA". It matches the Rfam family "Bacterial small subunit ribosomal RNA", at positions 332 to 796 of the family's 1533-position model. The record is from RNAcentral.
UACACUCCUGCGGGAGGCAGCAGUGGGGAAUAUUGGACAAUGGGCGCAAGCCUGAUCCAGCCAUGCCGCGUGAGUGAUGAAGGCCCUAGGGUUGUAAAGCUCUUUCACCGGAGAAGAUAAUGACGGUAUCCGGAGAAGAAGCCCCGGCUAACUUCGUGCCAGCAGCCGCGGUAAUACGAAGGGGGCUAGCGUUGUUCGGAAUUACUGGGCGUAAAGCGCACGUAGGCGGAUCGAUCAGUCAGGGGUGAAAUCCCAGGGCUCAACCCUGGAACUGCCUUUGAUACUGUCGAUCUGGAGUAUGGAAGAGGUGAGUGGAAUUCCGAGUGUAGAGGUGAAAUUCGUAGAUAUUCGGAGGAACACCAGUGGCGAAGGCGGCUCACUGGUCCAUUACUGACGCUGAGGUGCGAAAGCGUGGGGAGCAAACAGGAUUAGAAACCCGUGUAGUCC